Molecule: ribosomal RNA, 253 nt
Filed under: uncultured bacterium
Lineage: Bacteria
Description: partial 16S ribosomal RNA
Rfam family: Bacterial small subunit ribosomal RNA
Source: RNAcentral
UACAGGGGGUGCAAACGUUGCUCGGAAUUAUUGGGCGUAAAGCGCGCGUAGGCGGUCUUUUAAGUCGGAUGUGAAAGCCCUUGGCUCAACUGAGGAAGUGCAUCCGAAACUGAAAGGCUUGAGUACGAAAGAGGAUCGCGGAAUUCCCGGUGUAGAGGUGAAAUUCGUAGAUAUCGGGAGGAACACCGGCGGCGAAGGCGGCGAUCUGGGUCGAGACUGACGCUGAGGCGCGAAAGCGUGGGGAGCAAACAGG